ACAGCUCCAACAUGGCUCCGCGUCUGUGCAGCAUCUCUGCGGCGGCGCGGCGGCUACUGGGGGGCCCAGGGCUUGGUGCCCGGGACACUGCGGCUGUGGCUGCGGCGCGGUUCUAUUCCAAGGACAAUGAAGGCAGCUGGUUCCGUUCCCUCUUCGUACACAAGGUGGAUCCUCGGAAGGAUGCCCACUCUACCCUGCUGUCUAAGAAGGAGACCAGCAACCUCUACAAGAUCCAGUUUCACAAUGUGAAGCCCGAGUGUCUGGAUGCCUACAACAGCCUGACGGAGGCCGUGCUGCCCAAGCUGCACCUGGAUGAGGACUACCCCUGCUCGCUUGUGGGCAACUGGAACACGUGGUACGGGGAGCAGGACCAGGCUGUACACCUGUGGCGAUUCUCAGGUGGCUACCCAGCCCUCAUGGACUGCAUGAACAAGCUCAAAAACAACAAGGAGUACCUGGAGUUCCGAAAGGAGCGGAGCCAGAUGCUGCUUUCCAGGAGGAACCAGAUGCUUCUCGAGUUCAGCUUCUGGAAUGAGCCACAGCCUCGAGCUGGCCCCAACAUCUACGAGCUGAGGACGUACAAGCUCAAGCCAGGAACCAUGAUCGAGUGGGGGAACAACUGGGCUCGGGCCAUCAAGUACCGGCAGGAGAACCAGGAAGCAGUGGGCGGCUUCUUCUCGCAGAUAGGAGAGCUCUACGUUGUGCACCAUCUCUGGGCCUAUAAGGACCUGCAGUCUCGGGAGGAGACCCGAAACGCUGCCUGGAGGAAGAGGGGCUGGGAUGAAAAUGUCUACUACACAGUCCCCCUGGUGCGACACAUGGAGUCUCGGAUCAUGAUCCCUUUGAAGAUCUCGCCUCUGCAGUGAUGCUGCUGCUGCCUCCCCCUCUCCAUCGGGGUAGCCAGGGACAAAGGGGCUUCCAGUCCUGCUGUCUUGGUUUCCUCUUGGAUCCUGUGGACUCUGGCGGGUAGUGCUCAGCUCAGACAAGGGAAAGCUGAAGGAUGAUGAGUUUCUGAGGACUUAUAGUUCUGCCCAGACCCUUCCCAUCUUCCCCACUCACCCCUUCCCCUGUGUUGGAAGCAGUUUUUAUUUUAAGUUCUCUGAAUGAAGAAUAGCAACCUUUUAUGUCUUCUUACGGUUCCCUCUAAGAUGACUCAUCUCAAGGCCAGCAAUCCACAGUCUCACCCUGGAAAUCCUCAGUUUAGCUUUAGCUGCACAAAAGGUAGUGUGUCCAGUGGUUAGAGGUGGGGUAGAAAGAGAGAAGGUCAUACCAGGCCAGGCUCUCACAAAUUCUCUGGUUUCCACUCAGCCACUGAGCCAAGUCCCUCCUCCUGGAGAAAAGCCUAGAACUGCCCCAAGAAGCAAAAGGGAAAACCCUCAAAUUAGCAAAGUCUGCUGGACAUCCACAUAUUCCACCCAAUAUUCUACACAGAAAGGCUGGGAAAGGGGAUGGGAGCUGGGAGGAUCUGGGGGAGGGAAAAAGAAUGGAACAGAAACUCAGAAGGUAGAACUUAGGACUCAGAACUUGUGUUGGAACUGCAGAAUUUGGAAUAUAGAAUCGAGAAGAUAGGAGUUCCCAUUAUGGCUCCGUGGAAACAAAUCUGACUAGUAUCCAAGAGGAUGCAGAUUUGAACCCUGGCCUCGCUCAGUGGGUUAAGGAUCUGGUGUUUCCAGAUGUGAUGGUGCUGUGGCGGAGAUCACAGAUGUGGCUGAGAUCCCAUGUGGCUGUGGCAUAGGAAUUUUGGCAGGUGCCCAAGGCAGGGCUGGCUUCUCCACGUGGCUGAUCCACCCCAGUGGAGGGUUUUUUGUUUCCUGAAAUCCUAUCGAGGAGCAUCCUCCCACUAUGGCAGAAGGAACUGCACUAUAUAACCAGGGAUUCGGGACAUGUGUUUCUGCCUUCAGAUAAGUAGGACUUAGUAAACUCUAUCUGUACUCAUACCUGGGGUAGAAAAUGCUUGAAACUGUCAAAUGCUGCAUUAGAUUUGGGGCUCUACCCUAGGUAAAUGUGGCCUAAAAUGGGGAAAAUACCGAUCAAUCUUUGCGGGGGUGGGGGGAGGAGGCUGAAUGAAAUGGGCUUAAAACCCUCCCUGACUUGCUGCCCUCACUAGUGUGGGAUGUUAGGGUGGAUGUGAUGGUGAUUUAGAAUCCAGGUUAUGGAAGCAAAUCCACAGGGAUCCAGAUCUUAACACCACCACGCUGGGUUAUCCUGGGCAUGGGCAAAUUCAUUCAACACCUGGCAGAGCUCCCAUAGUUGUCGGACAUCGUUUUAGGCGCUGGGGAAAGAAUGAACGAGGCACAUAAGAGGCUUUGCCCUUGCAGCCUCGGUUUCCUAGUUUCAGGGGGCAGCAUGAGGCUGCUGGCUGGCUAGGACCCGCUCUGACAAACCAGGUGCCGCCUCCGCCGGCGUCCGCACCUCCUUGCUUCCCAGCAGAUACCAGCACAGCAGUCUGAGCCAGGACCCUUCGCGCUUCGCUUCCGGCCUCCGCGCCUCGCUUCCGGUCGACCGCUCCUUCCUUCCGCUUCUCUAUGGUGCGCGGUCCGCAGUCCUCCCGACGCCGGAAGUGGCUCGUUCACCGGGACGGAUUCUGGGCGCGUGCGGUGUUCAACAUUAUCGAUCACCUGUGGACCAUCAAAAGCCUGCUCCCAGGUCAUCUUUAUCGUCUUCCUCAGUGGAGUGCUUCCUGUGUUAAUGUCCACAAUAGCCCCAGAGCCAUGAAAUAGAGGCGUGGAGACUCCAUCUCGGGGCUUCUGUGACUCAACUUGAAUGAGGUCUCUGCUGUUUCCUCCUGAUUUCUCCAAACAACCAUGUCAUCAGAAUCGAGCAAAAAACGGAAGCCCAAAGUGAUCCGGAGUGAUGGAGCUCCAGCUGAAGGGAAGCGUAAUCGUUCUGACACUGAGCAGGAAGGUAAAUACUACAGCGAGGAGGCUGAGGUGGACCUGCGGGACCCUGGCAGAGACUAUGAGCUGUACAAGUACACGUGUCAAGAGUUGCAGAGGCUCAUGGCUGAGAUCCAGGACCUGAAAAGCAGGGGAGGCAAGGAUGUGGCCAUUGAGAUUGAAGAUCGGAGGAUCCAGAGCUGUGUACAUUUCAUGACUCUAAAGAAGCUUAACCGAUUAGCCCACAUCAGGUUGAAGAAAGGAAGAGAUCAGACCCAUGAGGCCAAGCAGAAAGUGGAUGCCUAUCACCUGCAGCUCCAGAACCUGUUGUAUGAGGUGAUGCACCUGCAGAAGGAGAUCACCAAAUGUCUGGAGUUUAAGUCAAAGCAUGAAGAAAUUGACCUGGUCAGCUUGGAGGAGUUUUAUAAGGAGGCUCCUCCAGAUAUCAGUAAAGCCGAAGUCACCAUGGGAGACCCUCACCAGCAAACUCUUGCACGUCUGGACUGGGAGCUGGAGCAGCGGAAAAGGCUGGCAGAGAAGUACCGAGAGUGCUUAUCCAACAAGGAGAAGAUCCUCAAGGAGAUUGAGGUGAAGAAGGAGUACCUGAGCAGCCUCCAGCCCCGACUCAACAGCAUCAUGCAGGCUUCCCUCCCAGUGCAAGAGUACCUGUUUAUGCCCUUCGACCAGGCUCACAAGCAGUAUGAGACAGCCAGACACCUACCACCUCCCCUCUAUGUCCUCUUUGUCCAGGCCACUGCAUAUGGGCAGGCCUGUGCUCAUAUGAAAUCCUCCCAGCCCCCUAGACAGGAUAAGACGCUGUCUGUGGCGAUAGAAGGCAGCGUGGACGAAGCCAAGGCUCUAUUCAAGCCUCCUGAGGACUCCCAAGAUGACGAGAGCGACUCGGAUGCUGAGGAGGAACAGACCACGAAACGCCGGCGACCCACUCUGGGAGUUCAGCUGGACGACAAACGCAAGGAGAUGCUGAAGAGGCACCCGCUGUCCGUCAUGCUGGACCUGAAAUGCAAAGAUGACAGUGUCCUGCACCUGACUUUCUACUACCUCAUGAACCUCAACAUCAUGACAGUAAAAGCCAAAGUGACAACCGCCACAGAGCUGAUCACCCCCAUCAGUGCAGGUGACUUGCUGUCUCCUGACUCAGUCCUAAGCUGUCUGUAUCCUGGGGAUCAUGGAAAGAAAACUCCAAAUCCAGCCAAUCAGUAUCAGUUUGACAAAGUUGGCAUCCUGACUUUGAGAGACUACGUACUUGACCUAGGUCACCCCUAUUUGUGGGUGCAGAAGCUGGGUGGUCUCCACUUCCCCAAAGAGCAGCCCCAGCACACUGUGGUCGCUGACCACUCGCUGAGCGCCAGCCACAUGGAGACCACCAUGAAGCUGCUGAAGACCAGGGUGCAGUCCCGCCUGGCCCUCCACAAGCAGUUUGCCUCCCUGGAACAUGGCAUCGUGCCAGUUACCAGUGAUUGCCAGUACCUCUUCCCUGCAAAGGUCGUCUCUCGCCUGAUGAAGUGGGUGGCAAUUGCCCAUGAGGAUUACAUGGAGCUGCAUUUCACCAAAGACAUUGUGGAGGCGGGACUGGCCGGGGACACCAAUCUCUACUACAUGGCACUCGUGGAAAGGGGCACAGCUAAGCUCCAGGCGGCCGUGGUGCUGAACCCUGGCUACUCCUCCAUCCCGCCCAUUUUCCAGCUCUGUCUGAACUGGAAAGGGGAGAAAACCAACAGCAACGAUGACAAUAUUCGGGCCAUGGAGAGCGAGGUCAACGUUUGCUACAAAGAGCUGUGUGGCCCCCGGCCCAGCCACCAGCUCUUGACCAACCAGCUGCAGCGCCUGUGCGUGCUGUUGGACGUCUACCUGGAGACGGAGAGCCACGACGACAGUGUGGAGGGGCCCAAGGAAUUUCCCCAGGAGAAGAUGUGUCUGAGGCUUUUCAGGGGUCCCAGCAGGAUGAAGCCGUUUAAAUAUAACCAUCCUCAAGGAUUCUUCAGCCAUCGCUGACCUCCCACUUAGCUAUUGUCCGCCUCCAGACCCCAGUACUGCACUUCUUUCUGAUCUGGCACACAUGUGGCUCUUGAUAUUCUCCAAAGACAGGUUUUCUAUUUGUAGCCUAUUAAAGUGUCACCUGACCGAGUG
Molecule: long non-coding RNA, 5024 nt
Filed under: Sus scrofa (pig)
Lineage: Eukaryota; Metazoa; Chordata; Mammalia; Artiodactyla; Suidae
Description: lncRNA (ENSSSCG00030042246.1)
Source: RNAcentral